Molecule: unclassified non-coding RNA, 25 nt
Filed under: Dictyostelium discoideum
Lineage: Eukaryota; Evosea; Eumycetozoa; Dictyosteliales; Dictyosteliaceae
Source: RNAcentral
ACCAGGGGUGGAGCCUGCGGCUUAA